AUGGAGCUGAGCUCUGUAAGGGUGUGCCUCCUGGUUUCUAAGGAACUGGCUGCUAUUUAUGCAGUCUAUUUACACAUUCUCUUGGCUUUUUACGCAGAGGUAACAUUUUAUAAUGUGAGCUCCCUCUCCCUUUUCCCUCAGAUACACACAGACGUCGAGCAACCAGCAGAGAAAGCAAAGAUUUCUGAGAGAAUCCCACAUAGAGUGGCUGCUAUAAUAGCAUGGCUGUUUAAAGCUGGAUUGCUCUGCGUCUUCUCUCGGCGCCUGCCUGGAAUGAGCUCCUUCGUCAGGGGUUAAGGCUGCAGUGAGUUUGGCAAUGAGCUGAAAACCUUG
This 333-nucleotide long non-coding RNA is filed under the name Coturnix japonica (Japanese quail). RNAcentral describes it as "lncRNA (ENSCJPG00005014712.1)". Lineage: Eukaryota; Metazoa; Chordata; Aves; Galliformes; Phasianidae. The record is from RNAcentral.